RNAcentral lists this transfer RNA (75 nucleotides) under Rhodococcus coprophilus. RNAcentral describes it as "tRNA-Arg(ccg)". It matches the Rfam family "tRNA". From Rfam's summary of the family: Transfer RNA (tRNA) molecules are approximately 80 nucleotides in length. Their secondary structure includes four short double-helical elements and three loops (D, anti-codon, and T loops). Further hydrogen bonds mediate the characteristic L-shaped molecular structure. tRNAs have two regions of fundamental functional importance: the anti-codon, which is responsible for specific mRNA codon recognition, and the 3' end, to which the tRNAs corresponding amino acid is attached (by aminoacyl-tRNA synthetases). tRNAs cope with the degeneracy of the genetic code in two manners: having more than one tRNA (with a specific anti-codon) for a particular amino acid; and 'wobble' base-pairing, i.e. permitting non-standard base-pairing at the 3rd anti-codon position. Lineage: Bacteria; Bacillati; Actinomycetota; Actinomycetes; Mycobacteriales; Nocardiaceae. The record is from RNAcentral.
GCCCUCGUAGCUCAGGGGAUAGAGCGCUUGCCUCCGGAGCAAGAAGUCGCAGGUUCGAAUCCUGCCGAGGGCACC